This 414-nucleotide ribosomal RNA is filed under the name uncultured microorganism. RNAcentral describes it as "bacterial SSU rRNA". It matches the Rfam family "Archaeal small subunit ribosomal RNA", at positions 459 to 872 of the family's 1478-position model. The record is from RNAcentral.
CAGCCGCCGCGGUAAUACCGGCGGCCCGAGUGGCGGUCACUAUUAUUGGGCUUAAAGCGUCCGUAGCCGGGGUGGGAAGUCCUCCGGGAAAUCUGGCCGCUUAACGGUCAGAAUGCCGGAGGAUACUCCCAGCCUAGGGGGCGGGAGAGGCCGAGGGGAUUCCCGGAGUAGGGGUGAAAUCCUAUAAUCCCGGGAGGACCACCUGUGGCGAAGGCGCUCGGCUGGAACGCGUCCGACGGUGAGGGACGAAGGCCAGGGGAGCAAACCGGAUUAGAUACCCGGGUAGUCCUGGCUGUAAACGAUGCGGACUUUGUGUCGGACAAGCUAUGAGCUUGUCCGGUGCCGGAGGGAAACCGUUAAGUCCGCCGCCUGGGGAGUACGGCCGCAAGGCUGAAACUUAAAGGAAUUGGCGGG